AGUCACUGACAUUAGAUACCCCUGUAGUCCCAGCCGUAAACAAUGUGCGUUAGGUGUGUCGGUAACCACGUGUUACUGAUGUGCCGAAGAGAAAUCGUGAAACGCACCACCUGGGAAGUACGGUCGCAAGGCUGAAACUUAAAGGAAUUGGCGGGGAGCACCACAACAGGUGGAGCCUGCGGUUUAAUUGGAUUCAACGCCGGACAUCUCACCGGAUAAGACAGCUGAAUGAUUGUCAAUCUGAAGGUUUUACAUGACUAGCUG
Molecule: ribosomal RNA, 264 nt
Filed under: uncultured archaeon
Lineage: Archaea
Description: partial 16S ribosomal RNA
Rfam family: Archaeal small subunit ribosomal RNA
Source: RNAcentral